GACGAACGCUGGCGGCGUGCUUAACACAUGCAAGUCGAACGGUAAGGCUCCAGCUUGCUGGGGUACACGAGUGGCGAACGGGUGAGUAACACGUGGGUGACCUGCCCUGCACUUCGGGAUAAGCCUGGGAAACUGGGUCUAAUACCGGAUAGGACCGCACCGUGAGGGUGUGGUGGAAAGUUUUUUCGGUGUGGGAUGGGCCCGCGGCCUAUCAGCUUGUUGGUGGGGUAAUGGCCUACCAAGGCGGCGACGGGUAGCCGGCCUGAGAGGGUGGACGGCCACAUUGGGACUGAGACACGGCCCAGACUCCUACGGGAGGCAGCAGUGGGGAAUAUUGCACAAUGGGCGGAAGCCUGAUGCAGCGACGCAGCGUGGGGGAUGACGGCCUUCGGGUUGUAAACUCCUUUCACCAUCGACGAAGGGUUUCUGACGUUAGAUGGAGAAGAAGCACCGGCUAACUACGUG
This 465-nucleotide ribosomal RNA is filed under the name uncultured bacterium. RNAcentral describes it as "partial 16S ribosomal RNA". It matches the Rfam family "Bacterial small subunit ribosomal RNA", at positions 28 to 507 of the family's 1533-position model. The record is from RNAcentral.